RNAcentral lists this transfer RNA (73 nucleotides) under Caldifarciminota bacterium. RNAcentral describes it as "tRNA-His". It matches the Rfam family "tRNA". From Rfam's summary of the family: Transfer RNA (tRNA) molecules are approximately 80 nucleotides in length. Their secondary structure includes four short double-helical elements and three loops (D, anti-codon, and T loops). RNAcentral also lists the same sequence under 1 other name. Lineage: Bacteria; Pseudomonadati; Caldifarciminota. The record is from RNAcentral.
GUGGGCGUAGCUCAACUGGUAGAGCGCUUGACUGUGGCUCAAGUCGUUGGGGGUUCAAGUCCCCUCGCUCACC